This 586-nucleotide long non-coding RNA is filed under the name Zostera marina. Its description in RNAcentral is "long non-coding RNA (ZMAR_LNC000042)". Lineage: Eukaryota; Viridiplantae; Streptophyta; Magnoliopsida; Alismatales; Zosteraceae. The record is from RNAcentral.
GUUUUAAGUAAACUUCUUCAGUUAGCUUUUCAUGCAUGUAGGAAGACAUAUAUCUAUAUGAUAUAGAUUCCACCUCUUUUGAGAAACAUCUGCAAUUAAUAUUCCUGGGGGGUGACAUAUCUACGGCGAAGAUCGCGUUGGGCCAUUAAGACGUCAAGUUGGACGCAAGUAACGUCCCAAAAUCGACGAUUUAGGGUGAAAUAGACGAGUUGAGGGAGAAAUCGCAAGUUCACAGGACUCAGACAACCUUCUCCCAAAAUCAGUGAUUUACAUGAUCCAAUCAGCAAUUAGGAGGGUUGAUUUGGGUCUCGACGUAAACCUUUGGAUCUACUUUCAUGGGAGUCUUCCGGGGUGCGACAUAAAACGAUAGAAACCCUAAUUCCUGUUGAUGGGAAAGACAAGUGUACAAUCCUGUAUCACCACAUAUAUAUAGCAAGACAUAAUAGCAGAAUUCCCAUAAACAUUAUAAGUAUGUACUUAUUGAUCAGGUCAACACCAAAACACAUAAUAGUAGGGUGGAACUAUAGAAUAACAUGGUUACAUGAGAGGUUAGGAUGUGAGUUAAGAGACAAAUAAUAGCAGGGUG